This is a non-coding RNA of Kockovaella imperatae, 114 nucleotides long. Lineage: Eukaryota; Fungi; Basidiomycota; Tremellomycetes; Tremellales; Cuniculitremaceae. The record is from the annotation of a RefSeq genome assembly.
GGGGGGGUAUAUCAGUUGGUUAGAUAGUUUGAUUCCAAAUCUGGACGCUUAUAUCCUCUGAUACAAGUUGAUUUCGAUAUCAAAAAGUCAUCCGUUCAAAUCGGGUUCUCCUCG